AUUGAACGCUGGCGGCAUGCUUUACACAUGCAAGUCGAGCGGCAGCACGGGGGCAACCCUGGUGGCGAGCGGCGAACGGGUGAGUAAUACAUCGGAACAUGCCCAGUCGUGGGGGAUAACACUUCGAAAGAAGUGCUAAUACCGCAUACGUCCUGAGGGGGAAAGCGGGGGAUCGCAAGACCUCGCGCGAUUGGAGUGGCCGAUGUCAGAUUAGCUAGUUGGUGGGGUAAAGGCCUACCAAGGCAACGAUCUGUAGCUGGUCUGAGAGGAUGAUCAGCCACACUGGGACUGAGACACGGCCCAGACUCCUACGGGAGGCAGCAGUGGGGAAUUUUGGACAAUGGGGGCAACCCUGAUCCAGCCAUUCCGCGUGAGUGAAGAAGGCCUUCGGGUUGUAAAGCUCUUUCGGCAGGAACGAAACGGUGAGCUCUAACAUAGCUUGCUAAUGACGGUACCUGAAGAAGAAGCACCGGCUAACUACGUG
This 484-nucleotide ribosomal RNA is filed under the name uncultured bacterium. RNAcentral's name for it is "partial 16S ribosomal RNA". It matches the Rfam family "Bacterial small subunit ribosomal RNA", at positions 30 to 507 of the family's 1533-position model. The record is from RNAcentral.